This is a long non-coding RNA of Pezoporus flaviventris, 3969 nucleotides long. RefSeq lists it as uncharacterized. The transcript has 3 exons. Lineage: Eukaryota; Metazoa; Chordata; Aves; Psittaciformes; Psittacidae. The record is from RefSeq and is a predicted model, not a curated record.
AAUCAGUUGGGAAGCAGCUCUGGCAGUCACUCGCUCUGUUUCCUUUCCUCCACCUUUCUUCUUGUGCCACAAGCAGUGCUGGGGAAGGGGGAAGCCUCCCAAGCUCUUCUGUGUGCCCCAUUUCACCCUUGGGUGCAGGGGAAGUGGUGGGAGCUGGGACUGGCCUGGCUGGCCUGAGCUGGGAGAGCACUGUGUAUUCAGGUUUCUUCAAGCAGGUCAGACAUGGGAGUCCUCAUUUCUUCUCUGUCCUUACAACCACUGGAAAGAAUUUUCUACAAAUAGUGCGGAUGGCACAGUGUGCCUGGAUUUCUUUUUGCCCACUACCCAACUUCCAGCAGACCUGGAGCCAGAGGAAGCAUUCCAGCCCAGUGUCAGUGGAAGGCUGGAAGAUGUAGUGUCCUCAACAUGAUUGACUGCUUGAAGCAUUCCUCAGAGAGAACUGUGUUAUGAAAAAAACCUGUUCUGGUACAAAAGGGGAAGAGUUUGCUUCUUAAUGAGAAAGACUUGCAGCCCUGCUGACUUACUCAAUUUCUUCUAAUUCACUUAAAGUACUGAAGGCAUUUAAAGUGCAUUCCUAGCUUUGAGCAGAUAAGAGGACUGAAAUCAGGGAGCCUGCUCAAAAGACUGCCUUAAGUGAGACAAAUCUGUUUGAGUACCUCAGUGAACUAAAGGCUAAAAGAGAGAUCUUAUUUCUGAGCACAGCUAACUCUGAAUAUUGAGUAUUUCAUGAUGCCAGCACAAAAACAGAGAAAAAAAAAAUUACACUUUAAUUUGAAACACAAAUAAGAAUGAGGAAGUUGUUUUUCAUACGUAUUGUUCUUCAGCAGGCAAAAAAGCAAUUGCUUUUUGUUACAAAUCCCUCUCCUGAUUUUAUUCUUAAGCAUUGUGUACUCUUCUUGUUUUUUAUAUUUUAAAACUGUCCCUCUGCUUUUUUUUUCUGGCUCUUGGACUGAGAUCUAUUGUAGAAUUUGUCUGCAGUUCUCUUGUCCAUUCCAAACAGAUGAUGUGUUGUUUAAAAUAAUGUCGAUAUUGUUACACUAUUCUUUGCUGCAGUUACAACUUUUAUAUCCUUAACCUCAUGCUUUAGGCUUGCAGAACAAUACUUACUGUGCUUGCAGCUAAAUUAAGGUAGUAGUUAGGAAAACUGUUGUGAACAGCAAUGACUCUCUGUCCUUGCUUAAGGCAACUAGGCCUGGAAAGUUCCCAAUCUGUGAAGGUCAGAUUCUCUUGUUAGGAAUACCUGGUUCCAGGCACAAAUUACUUCCAUUAGAUCAGAUGUGUGUAUGCAUGUAUGUAAUUAGUAGAACCAAAGCAGAUAGGAUUCUUACGGGAACAGCUAUGGAGCCAAUGAAGCUAUUGUAUCAGAGGGGUUGGGGGUAUUUUUCAAUAAAUAUAUUACACAAAGAACAGAAUCAUAUUACUUUUUACACCAAAUUGCAUCAUAUCCCAAAACCUCUGCUUUACAGCAUAGCUAGACAAAGAAUGUAAAGCUCGUAUUUUAUUCUUGUGUCUCAAAAUGAUGUGAUACACUGAAUUGUGCAUGGCAUAGCAAAAUAUUAUAGAGUUUUAUUUUAAGAGUAUGCCCAUUUUGGAUGAGCAGUAAUGAAACUGCUUUCCUUAUGUGGUGCUUGGAGAAAGGCAAGCAUUUUUUAAGGAGCUCUGUCUUGUUCAAGAAUGCAGAGGACUGGCAAAAGCCAGCAGUGGAGACAUACUAGGCAUAUCCAGUACCAGAAAACUUCAGUACUUGCAGAACUUGCCAUUUCGGUUACUAUAUUAGCAUACCCAUUGGGUCAAAAUGAUCUCUAGAAACCAGUGGAAGUUCUUUGACUAGUUUCCCUGGGCAGGUGAACAUGAUUCUUUGAGGGGACUCACUGAGUCUUUACUGGUCUGAAGGCAUUGCUGGUGUUGUCGCAACUGCUGGGAAACCACCAGUGGGAAAUUCUAGAGAUUAGCAGGUACCAUGGUGUUAAAAUUGAUGAAAAAGAUGUUAUCUCAUGAUGCUGUUAUUUGGCAAUCAGGUGUUUCAGGUCCCCAAAAAUCCUGUAAGUCCUGUACUCCUACUAGAAGAAGGAGGAGUCUGAUCCUUCAGCCAGCAAAGUUCCGCUGUCAGAAGAGACUUCCUGCUAUGAACCUGGUAUUACUGGGCAGACAGUAAAGCUCCAUGUCUCUGUUGCAUCUGCAGAACUGGAAAUAAUGCCUCGAAGUACCUACUUUGAUAUAUCUCAUUGUGCAAACAGAAACACAAGAGUCUGAGAGAGCACAAACUGACUGAGGAUCAAGAUGGUCAAGAUACUGAUUGCAGAAAUUGAUGAAAACUUCCUUAGGUGACAUGACUUGGCUUCUGUUGUUUUUUUUUCUUUUCCAUAACUGCCAUCUUAGAAUCCAUGCCAGACUCAAAAGACCAAAAAAGUAAGAUUGUUUAUAGUAUGCAAUCUAUACACAACUAAAGUCAUUGCUGAUGUGAAACAACUGUCUUCAGUAAAGUUUUGCCAGAGUUGAGUGCUGCUCAGUCACAUUGUAUGUGUGUUAGCAUGGUUUCUAAGAUACUGAUCACAGCAAUACAAAUAAUUGUAUUUAGAAUAUUCUUCUGCCAUUCUUUUUUGUUGUUCAUUCCAGAUGCAAGUACUCUGCAGCUGGAUGUAAGUCAUGUAGCGUGGGGCCCACAGUUUCCACUCUUCCAUCUAGGAUAAAAAGAAUAUUAUUCCUGUAAAAAUAACCAGACAUCUAAUUGCAUUUGCUAUGGGUAUACUGAAGGCUGUCUCUCCCAGCUGUUUUCUAUGUGUAGCAUUGGACAUGUAUCUGCACCAUUCUGCUCUGCCUCUUCAGCCAUGGGGUGGGCAGGGAACUUAGAAGGGAACCCUGGGAAGCAGCUUCUGUGUUCAGGAGCAGACGCUUCCUUGGUAGGGACUGGUAUUGCAUUUACAUUAUAAAAAGCUCUAGUCCUUUCACAAUUACAUACUUGAGUUAUGAACUUGCUUUGGAACAAGUUAGAUUGUGUUGGUAUGAAAAGCUGGUAUUUUUUCCACCUGGUGCUCUGGAGUCUAACUUUGGCUUAAUUCCUUUUCUUCAGGCUGUCAGAUAUAAUAGCUCUAAGGAAGAAUCGAUCUCCAUAGCCACUGUAAGAGAGGAAACAAUUCUGAAGAAAGGUGAUAACUGAUUUUUUUUUUUAAUGUACUUAAUAUUUAAGCAAAAAGCACAUAAGAAAACUAUAAUCUGUCUUAGAAGGUCUGCAUAAUGUCUCUCUGUGCUCUGCCUUGUCUUUUGGGAGCCCACACCAAAGCCUCCAAACUAGACAAGCAUGCAGAUAGAUUUCUUCAAAACAUCCCAUGUACCUGUUCUGGAAUGGCUUUUGAACAGCAAGUUGUGUCCUCUUCCAUUUCAGAAACACAUGGGAAGAAUCCCUGUCUCAUUCAGGCACAGCUCUGAAAUGGUAUUUUAUGUAAGCUUGAUGAAUGCUAGAGGAAAUGUCCUCCUGUUGCUGAAACAAAGCAUUUGUUAGGGGCUUUUUGCUAACAUGGAUGCACCUGUGUGUUUCUCUGAAUGACUGAAGCAUAUGUACAGGGCUUCAUUUCCUUAACAAACUUUGAGUGGGUUUCUUAUUGGUCAAAAACUGUGGCCAGGAUCACAGCAAGGGAUCUUUAUACAGAGCUCUCCUUCAUGUGAUACAAGCUUGCGUAACAUGCAAUUUCUCCUUUUGGUUCAGAUCUGGCACUAGCUCCAUGUUUUUUUCUCUUCUGAGUUUGAGAGAGUUUGCAAUGAUUUAUCCUAUUUAGGACAAAAUCAUUCUCAGAUUAUCUUACAGAUGUCCCUCCCUUGAAUUUUGUUACCCACUACCCACAGGAGCAAUGAAAACCUGUGACUGUACACUGUAAUCUUUCAGAGGGAAGAUGCUAAAUGUACCUCUGCGCUUUGUGGAGUACAAGAUACUUGGUGAUGUUUAGCAAGUGUGUGUGUAUGUGUUUGUGUGUG